AUGGAGGCUACUAGUGAGGGGUUACUAUUGGUUUUGCCAGCAGUGUUUGAAAUGGUUCUGACCAUGACUGAUCCUGUAAUAACACAAAAUUGCAGCAGCUAAAACUUUCCAGCUCCUUCAUGAACGAGGCAUUUUCCUCUUGCAUCUCUUAAUCCAGGCCCUGUGUGAAAUAAACUGACAGCUCUUCAGUUCAGUUGUGCAUCACAAAACCCCAACCAUGACUGGCACACAUUUGUUGCUUUCUCAGUCUCAGGAGAGAGACCAAAAAUUGACUAUGUGGAAAUCACACUCGCAUGAGCCCCUAAGCGUAGUGCUGCGAGAGUCCCUCCAGGUCACCGUUGGUGUAUAUUGGCAGGGCAGUGUGUGUUAGGGAAAUUUGUCCUAUUGCAAAUUGGAAAGAGAACAUGUGCUAUGUGGAACCCUCACUCUGCAGAUCAACAGAUGAAGCCCUGAUUGGUCAGGGAAUGGGUAGAGGAGAGCUGACUCUCCACCCCCAAAGUAAAACCCUGGUUGGCUAAAGAGUUGGGAAGAAAUCCCACACCUCCCUUGUUGAAUGGACAACUGCGCCAGUGGGCAUGUGGAACACAUCAGACCGAGAGUCUAACUCUGGAGCGGCCAGCAGGCUGCUCCCUGCAUCUUUCUGUGUGGCUACUGUGAGUUGGCACAGCAUGCAAAAUUUGGCCAGAGUCCAAAGGGAAGAGGACAUCACAAUGAGAGACUGAUACUGUGGGCUGUGGGGAUGAUUGUUUUCUGAGGAAGCUGCUGUUACUGAUGAAAAGGCUGGAGUGAAUACUUGCCUCCCCAAAGGCUGCAGGAGGGUUCUCCUCACCAAGGCAACAGGUGGGAGUUAGUUUUUUCCAAACAGCAAUGGGACCCUCCACUACAGCUGCUUAUUCAUAUUCUAUCUUGACACCUUUUCCCUUCCUCUUUAAUGAGGUGGCUUGCUUGUUUCUUUCCUCUUGCUUUUUGCUGAGGUUAUAGGACCUAUUGGAAGGCCUCCCACUUGUACACCUUUUCCCAGGGCAAUGGGUCCCCAGGGGAGGCUCCCACUGUUACUGUCUGUUCAUGCACCUGUGCUCUGUAAUGUAUGCCUAAUUUAAAACACAUUAAUGGUAUGAUUCCAUUACAGCUGAUCAAGAUACUGGCUUCAGGAGUACUCCUGGUAGGCUACGAAUCAGCUGUGCUAGAUAAUUUGAAAGUGCUGUGGAUCUGUUCAGAGCUCCAGUGUUAAGUAAGGCAGACAGAGAGCUAUUCAUUAUUAACAAGGCAUUAUGCGUUUUGCUCAGCAAAAGUGCAAGUCUGGGAUGAGCUGAGAUCUAUCGGAGGUGAAGGUUUCAGACAGCCAACUUUACUGUAUGGUUCAACAGAUGUGUCCUUCCAAGUAUCUGUCCACUUUUGAACUCUCCUUCCCAGACACAGUACACCUCUUAGUUCUGACCUGGUUCGCCAAAACUCUUAUAAGUUCUUCACUUCUACUUUGCUUGGCUUGCAUUUUAAGUCUCAUAAAAGGAACUGAUGGUGAAAUUGGUUAGAGGGUUAGAGAGUGGCAUGUUGUAUGUAAAGGGACAAUUUCCAGCUUCCCCCAGUGCUGACCCCUGCCUCUGCUAUUCCAGUCCUGGGCUCCUUCCCCUCUCCCCCCUCCACCUCCAAGUUCUGCAAAGGCACCGCAGUCCCAAAUUGCAGUUCUUCCUUGUCCUUCUGGUCCUGGCCUACCCCCUUCCCCCAGCUAUGGCGAUGAACCUCAAUGCUAACCCACAGCAUUUCCUGUUAUUACAGGCCUGAGCUCCCCCUCAGAGUUCAGCCAGUGCAACUAAAUCCCAAUCUGCAAGACUUAG
Dermochelys coriacea (leatherback sea turtle) is the source of this 1835-nucleotide long non-coding RNA. RefSeq lists it as uncharacterized. NCBI's taxonomy places the organism in Eukaryota, Metazoa, Chordata, Testudines, Dermochelyidae. The record is from RefSeq and is a predicted model, not a curated record. The transcript is spliced from 2 exons.